Molecule: unclassified non-coding RNA, 175 nt
Filed under: uncultured Ascomycota
Lineage: Eukaryota; Fungi; Ascomycota
Description: sequence contains ITS1
Source: RNAcentral
CCGAGUGAGGGCCCUCUGGGUCCAACCUCCCACCCGUGUUUAUCGUACCUUGUUGCUUCGGCGGGCCCGCCUCACGGCCGCCGGGGGGCUCACGUCCCCGGGCCCGCGCCCGCCGAAGACACCCUCGAACUCUGUCUGAAGAUAGUAGUCUGAGUGGAAUUAUAAAAUUAUUUAA